UCGCGGGAGGCGUGGAUGCUGCUGCUGCUGCUGCGUGGAUUUCCCGGAUGGAGCUGCGGCGCCAUCUUCACGCCUCUGCUCACCGGUGGGUCUUCGGCUCAGCGGAGCGACAGAGCUGUUGCUGAUCCACCGCCAGGACUCUCCGAGCAGCCCGAUUAUCGUCCCCUGUUUCCCCACCGGGACGCUGAACGCAGCCCUCCCCGCUACCGGAGCACCAUGGCGGACAGAGAGAACCUGGUGUACCAAGCAAAACUGGCCGAGCAAGCGGAGAGAUACGAUGAAAUGGUGGAGUCGAUGAAGAAGGUGGCCAGCAUGGACGUGGAGCUGACGGUGGAGGAGAGGAACCUUCUCUCCGUCGCCUAUAAGAACGUGAUCGGCGCGCGGCGAGCGUCCUGGAGGAUCAUCAGCAGCCUGGAGCAGAAGGAGGAGAACAAGGGCGGCGAGGACAAGCUGAAGAUGAUCCGGGAAUAUCGGAAAACGGUUGAGAAAGAGCUGAAAUCAAUCUGCAACGACAUCCUGGAUGUUCUGGACAAACACCUCAUCUUAGCAGCAACCACCGGAGAAUCCAAGGUUUUCUACUACAAAAUGAAGGGAGACUACCACCGGUACCUGGCGGAGUUCGCCACGGGCAACGACAGGAAGGAGGCGGCGGAGAACAGCCUGGUGGCGUACAAGGCGGCCAGCGACAUCGCCAUGAUCGAACUUCCUCCAACGCACCCCAUCCGCCUCGGCCUGGCACUCAACUUCUCCGUUUUCUACUAUGAAAUCCUGAAUUCGCCGGACCGGGCCUGCAGGUUGGCGAAGGAGGCGUUCGAUAACGCCAUCGCGGAGCUGGACACACUGAGCGAGGAAAGCUACAAAGACUCCACACUUAUCAUGCAGUUGCUACGGGACAACUUGACGCUAUGGACCUCAGACGUUCAGGGAGACGGUUGAUUUGUCGUCGUCAUGGUAACUCCCCUAAGCUACCACUGUUUCUGUCUCACAAUGCGUUUUCCCUCCUACUGACCUCACCAGCACUCUAACAGCGCCCCUCCCAGCAUGGUGCCACGUUGCCAGCAGCAGGUGAAGAACAGAACAAAGAAGCGCCGCAAGACGCGGAGGAAGAAGCCCAGCGAGACUGAACAACUCAAGACAAACCCUCCUCUUCCUCUUCUCUAUUUUUUCUUUCUCGUCCCAGAACCAGCUCCGGUUCCAGCCGGGUUCAGCCCACCA
Molecule: RNA transcript, 1215 nt
Organism: Poecilia latipinna (sailfin molly)
Lineage: Eukaryota; Metazoa; Chordata; Actinopteri; Cyprinodontiformes; Poeciliidae
Gene name: 14-3-3 protein epsilon-like
Exons: 7
Source: RefSeq, a predicted model, not a curated record